UCAGUAUGUUAAAAAUUUGAAUUGGCGC
Molecule: non-coding RNA, 28 nt
Filed under: Bombyx mori (domestic silkworm)
Lineage: Eukaryota; Metazoa; Arthropoda; Insecta; Lepidoptera; Bombycidae
Source: RNAcentral